Molecule: long non-coding RNA, 844 nt
Organism: Oncorhynchus tshawytscha (Chinook salmon)
Lineage: Eukaryota; Metazoa; Chordata; Actinopteri; Salmoniformes; Salmonidae
Source: Ensembl
UGGAAGGAUCUGUGAACCAUAGAGAAAGAGACGAUAUAUAUUGGCUGGAUUUACCGUGUAUGAGCUGGACUGUUUGGACUUACCUGUUGGCAUUUGGACCUGGACCUACCAAGAACCCAAUUCCUGUACCGAACCCUGCUAUCUUUGACCUUGCCUGCGGCCUGGGUGGACCAGGAUAUAGAAACAAACACACAGAAUGUCACUAAAAGGACUUACAAACAAAGCAAGAAGAUGGCCUCAUCAGCAGAGGAUGAUCCCAUUAACCCUUAAGCAAGAGGUACAGGAACCAACUGGUUGCUGUAGAUUAUUAUAUACCUGCCAUAGAUGGUGGUUUGUUAUCCAUGGUGCUGUGGAUGCUUACAGCAGGCUUGUGUUUCUAAAGGCCCCUGGCAACAGGAGUGCCACAGUCAUGGAGUCAUUUGAAGCAGCCAUCACCAGCUAUGGAGUACUAUCCCGGGUGAGAUGUCAAACAAACCACCCGGGGUGGUGCAAACAACCACAUCUGUGCCUUCAUGGAGCAGUUCAGGGAUGGUGAGAGGGGAAGUGCCCUCAGGAAGGAGCACUCGCAACCAGAGGAUAGAGCUGCUGUGGGGGGACGUCUGGCAUGGAGUCUCCAACGUUUACAAUUCUUGGAGUUCACCUUCUUGGAGACGGAGCAGAUCAUCGACAUCAACAAUGAGGUGCACCUGUGGGCACUGCACUUUGUAUUCCUGUCACAGGCGUAAAGAGAUCUGCCGUGCCAGUCAGUGGAACCACCAUGGGCUGAGGACUGAACAACGGCAGUCAGCUCUGCAGUUGUUCAUAUCGGGUUCCCUGGCAAUUUUGAGCGCCUAUCUGACCCUCG